RNAcentral lists this ribosomal RNA (428 nucleotides) under Pseudomonadota bacterium. RNAcentral's name for it is "Proteobacteria bacterium partial 16S ribosomal RNA". It matches the Rfam family "Bacterial small subunit ribosomal RNA", at positions 355 to 776 of the family's 1533-position model. The record is from RNAcentral. Lineage: Bacteria; Pseudomonadati; Pseudomonadota.
UGGGGAAUAUUGGACAAUGGGCGAAAGCCUGAUCCAGCCAUGCCGCGUGUGUGAAGAAGGUCUUCGGAUUGUAAAGCACUUUAAGUUGGGAGGAAGGGCAGUAAGCGAAUACCUUGCUGUUUUGACGUUACCGACAGAAUAAGCACCGACUAACUCUGUGCCAGCAGCCGCGGUAAUACAGAGGGUGCAAGCGUUAAUCGGAAUUACUGGGCGUAAGCGCGCGUAGGUGGUUCGUUAAGUUGAAUGUGAAAGCCCCGGGCUCAACCUGGGAACUGCAUCGAAAACUGGCUAGCUAGAGUAGGGCAGAGGGUGGUGGAAUUUCCUGUGUAGCGGUGAAAUGCGUAGAUAUAGGAAGGAACACCAGUGGCGAAGGCGACCACCUGAGCUCAUACUGACACUGAGGUGCGAAAGCGUGGGGAGCAAACAGG